RNAcentral lists this ribosomal RNA (466 nucleotides) under uncultured bacterium. RNAcentral's name for it is "partial 16S ribosomal RNA". It matches the Rfam family "Bacterial small subunit ribosomal RNA", at positions 28 to 506 of the family's 1533-position model. The record is from RNAcentral.
GACGAACGCUGGCGGCGUGCUUAACACAUGCAAGUCGAACGGAAAGGCCCUGCUUUUGUGGGGUGCUCGAGUGGCGAGCGGGUGAGUAACACGUGAGUAACCUGCCCUUGACUUUGGGAUAACUUCAGGAAACUGGGGCUAAUACCGGAUAGGAGCUCCUGCUGCAUGGUGGGGGUUGGAAAGUUUCGGCGGUUGGGGAUGGACUCGCGGCUUAUCAGCUUGUUGGUGGGUAGUGGCUUACCAAGGCUUUGACGGGUAGCCGGCCUGAGAGGGUGACCGGCCACAUUGGGACUGAGAUACGGCCCAGACUCCUACGGGAGGCAGCAGUGGGGAAUAUUGCACAAUGGGCGGAAGCCUGAUGCAGCAACGCCGCGUGCGGGAUGACGGCCUUCGGGUUGUAAACCGCUUUCGCCUGUGACGAAGCGUGAGUGACGGUAAUGGGGAAAGAAGCACCGGCUAACUACGG